CCCUGCCCAAUCGGCGCCGUCCGCCCGAGCGCGGCGGUUCAGCGGCGAGGUGAGCCCCGUUUCCUCGGCCGAUCGCGAGCGCCGCGCGCCUUCCCUUCGCCCGCUCGCUCGCUUGGAGAGAAGAGGCGGCCGCGCUUCCUGCGCCUCGACUGGCGAUGGAGAGAGGAAAGAGAUCCAAGGAGAGAGUCCCCGGGAAGCGAGGGGCGGGCGGCUGCAGUGCAAGUCCACCCCGGGAUCCGUUUUAGGGAGCCCAUCCGGAAGGAAAGAGAUCCAAGGAGACGGCUCUAGACCGGGAAGCGAGCUCCCGGGACCAGCCUUCUUCAUUAGGCAGAGGGAGGCCUUAGGCAGCCCAUUCGAAGUCUCGGAAAGAAGGCAGGGAAGUGCGCCUUCCUUAGUUUAUUAUCAUGGCAUCCUUGCAUUUGUAUUGCCGCUCAGUGGGAUGAAAGAUAAUGUAAGAGGAAAGAGGAAACAGAUGAGACGAAGGAACAAAGAAAGAAAGAACAAAAGAGGAACAAAACCAGAUUGGCAAUUAUUUCCGUACAUAAUUAUUAAAGAAUAAAUAGAGCCAUUUUAUGUUAGGUUGUCUGCCUUUCCUUACACUCGCAAUGUUACUUGGCUUAACCAUGUGAACUAAUUCCCAAAUCCUUAAGAUCUAAUCAUCUAAUGUAGGAUUGUUUUCCCCUCCAGUUGUGACAUACCAUUAUGUGGGCAGUUGUUAACAAAUAAGUUAUGAUUUCCACAUCUUCCAGUAAAACCAAAUCUCUUACAUAAAAAAGAAAAACACUAGUGGAUCUACUAGUAAUGUACAGUGCAUUAUAAUUUCAAUUUCAUGUCCAGAAACUCCUUAUUUUAAGGCAAGCCCACAAUAUCUGAAGCACACCAGUGCUUAAGAUGUCUUUUGCCCACAUUUGUAUUUCAGUGUGCUGGGUUUGUAGCUAUCAGUAUGCAAUUUGCAGCCUGCGUCAGCGCAUAGGAGUGCUCAAAGCACUAAUUUCCACAUAUAUCCCUACCACACAUAUUCAAAAACCAACAGCAAUCAGAAAUAUAUAAUAAAGGAAGUGAGAGUGAUUCUACUUAGUAAAUGUAGAAUGGCUUAGGAUGAAUAAACCUAACAAAGUCUGUCUUCCAAAAUUAUGAAAUUAAAGUUCUAUUGUUGUCAAACCAUC
This is a long non-coding RNA of Podarcis raffonei (Aeolian wall lizard), 1166 nucleotides long. RefSeq lists it as uncharacterized. The record is from RefSeq and is a predicted model, not a curated record. The transcript has 2 exons. NCBI's taxonomy places the organism in Eukaryota, Metazoa, Chordata, Lepidosauria, Squamata, Lacertidae.